Molecule: non-coding RNA, 926 nt
Filed under: Dasyprocta punctata (punctate agouti)
Lineage: Eukaryota; Metazoa; Chordata; Mammalia; Rodentia; Dasyproctidae
Description: partial 12S ribosomal RNA
Rfam family: Bacterial small subunit ribosomal RNA
Source: RNAcentral
UGGCCUUUUUAUUAGUUAAAUGUAAAAUUAUACAUGCAAGACUCCUCUCCCCGGGUGAAAAUGCCCUUUUAACCACAAAGRAUGAAAGGAGCGGGUAUCAAGCACACUAAUUAGUAGCUCACAACGCCUUGCUUUGCCACACCCCCAUGGGAAACAGCAGUAAUAAAAAUUAAGCAAUAAACGAAAGUUUGACUAAGUUAUACACUAGCAAAAAGGGUUGGUAAAUUUCGUGCCAGCCACCGCGGUCAUACGAUUAACCCAAACUAAUAAAACCCGGCGUAAAGAGUGUUUUAGAAAAACAUAAAAUAAGACUAAAAUUUAUCUAAGUCGUAGAAAACACCAGAUAAAAUACAUACUGAAACGAAAGUAGUCUUACUAUAUCUGAAUACACGAAAGCUAGAAUCCAAACUGGGAUUAGAUACCCCACUAUGCCUAGCCAUAAACAUAAAAAUUUUAUAACAAAAAUUCUCGCCCGAGAACUACUAGCCACAGCUUAAAACUCAAAGGACUUGGCGGUGCUUUACACCCACCUAGAGGAGCCUGUUCUAUAAUCGAUAAACCCCGAUACACCUCACCACCCCUUGCUAAUUCAGCUUAUAUACCGCCAUCUUCAGCAAACCCUAUUAUGGAACAACAGUAAGCUUAACUAUCAACAAUAAAAACGUUAGGUCAAGGUGUAGCCUAUGGGGUGGGAAGAAAUGGGCUACAUUUUCUUAUCAAAGAACAUUCUACGCAAAUCCUCAUGAAACUGAGGAUAUAAGGAGGAUUUAGUAGUAAAUUAAGAACAGAGAGCUUAAUUGAACCAGGCCAUGAAGCACGUACACACCGCCCGUCACCCUCCUCAAGUGUUCAAAAAUUCACCCAAAACAACAACACAAGAGGAGAUAAGUCGUAACAAGGUAAGUAUACUGGAAAGUGUACUUGGA